Molecule: ribosomal RNA, 866 nt
Filed under: uncultured archaeon
Lineage: Archaea
Description: bacterial SSU rRNA
Rfam family: Archaeal small subunit ribosomal RNA
Source: RNAcentral
CUCCGGUGAUCCGCCGGACCCGACUGCUAUCAGAGUGGGACUAAGCCAUGCGAGUCAACAUAGCAAUAUGUGGCAUACGGCUCAGUAACACGUAGUCAACAUGCCCAGGGGACGUGGAUAACCUCGGGAAACUGAGGAUAAACCGCGAUAGGUCAUCACUUCUGGAAUGGGUAAUGACUUAAAUCUAUAUGGCCCCUGGAUUGGACUGCGGCCGAUCAGGCUGUUGGUGAGGUAAUGGCCCACCAAACCUGUAACCGGUACGGGCUCUGAGAGGAGGAGCCCGGAGAUGGGCACUGAGACAAGGGCCCAGGCCCUAUGGGGCGCAGCAGGCGCGAAACCUCUGCAAUAGGCGAAAGCUUGACAGGGUUACUCUGAGUGAUUUCCGUUAAUGAGAUCUUUUGGCACCUCUAAAAAUGGUGCAGAAUAAGGGGUGGGCAAGUCUGGUGUCAGCCGCCGCGGUAAUACCAGCACCCCGAGUGGUCGGGACGUUUAUUGGGCCUAAAGCAUCCGUAGCCGGUUCUACAAGUCUUCCGUUAAGUCCACCUGCUUAACAGAUGGGCUGCGGAAGAUACUAUAGAGCUAGGAGGCGGGAGAGGCAAGCGGUACUCGAUGGGUAGGGGUAAAAUCCGUUGAUCCAUUGAAGACCACCAGUGGCGAAGGCGGCUUGCCAGAACGCGCUCGACGGUGAGGGAUGAAAGCUGGGGGAGCAAACCGGAUUAGAUACCCGGGUAGUCCCAGCUGUAAACGAUGCAGACUCGGUGAUGAGUUGGCUUAUUGCUAACUCAGUGCCGCAGGGAAGCCGUUAAGUUUGCCGCCUGGGGAGUACGGUCGCAAGACUGAAACUUAAAGGAAUUGGCGGGGGAGCA